Molecule: small RNA, 153 nt
Filed under: Papio anubis (olive baboon)
Lineage: Eukaryota; Metazoa; Chordata; Mammalia; Primates; Cercopithecidae
Description: Metazoan signal recognition particle RNA (ENSPANG00000047949.1)
Source: RNAcentral
GCCGGGCGAGGUGGCGGGCGCCUGUAGUCCCAGCUACUCGGGAGGCUGAGGCAGGAGAAUGGCGUGAACCCGGGUGGGUGGAGCUUGCAGUGAGCGCGAGAUCGCGCUCACUGCAAGCUCCAGCCUGGGGCACAGAGCAAGACUCCGUCUCAA